GGUGCAGCAGGCGCGAAAACUUUGCAAUGCGGGAAACCGUGACAAGGGAACUCUGAGUGCCCGUAAAAUCGGGCUGUCCAUCGGUUUAAAUAACCGGUGAAGAAAGGGUCGGGCAAGACCGGUGCCAGCCGCCGCGGUAAUACCGGCGGCUCGAGUGGUGGCCACUAUUACUGGGCUUAAAGCGUUCGUAGCUGGUUUGUUAAGUCUCUGGGGAAAUCUUCCGGCUUAACCGGAAGGCGUCUCAGGGAUACUGGCAGACUAGGGACCGGGAGAGGUGAGAGGUACUCCAGGGGUAGGAGUGAAAUCCUGUAAUCCUUGGGGGACCACCUGUGGCGAAGGCGUCUCACCAGAACGGCUCCGACAGUGAGGGACGAAAGCUGGGGGAGCAAACCGGAUUAGAUACCCGGGUAGUCCCAGCUGUAAACGAUGCGCGUUAGGUGUAUCGGUGACCACGAGUCACCGAGGUGCCGAAGAGAAAUCGUGAAACGUGCCGCCUGGGAAGUACGGUCGCAAGGCUGAAACUUAAAGGAAUUGGCGGGGGAGCAC
RNAcentral lists this ribosomal RNA (546 nucleotides) under uncultured archaeon. RNAcentral describes it as "bacterial SSU rRNA". It matches the Rfam family "Archaeal small subunit ribosomal RNA", at positions 329 to 879 of the family's 1478-position model. The record is from RNAcentral.